Long non-coding RNA from Symphalangus syndactylus (siamang), 553 nucleotides. RefSeq lists it as uncharacterized. Lineage: Eukaryota; Metazoa; Chordata; Mammalia; Primates; Hylobatidae. The record is from RefSeq and is a predicted model, not a curated record.
GUCACACAGCAUCCCUGGAAGCCGAGACCCAACAACCCACUAUGCCUACAGGGUGGGGCCCCAAGGGAAACCCCAAACACAGAGGUUUGAGGGAGCAUCCAGUCAAUGCUCCACACAUGCUGUCACACAUGGGUGCUGGGAAAGGAAUCCUGCCCUGACUCCGCGGGGAGAGGACCAGGGAAGCUCCACAUUUGCAAGUAAGGCCAGCCAAGUUCAGCGGAAUAGGAGUUUCAUGAAGAGGACCAAGAGGUAACCUCAAAGCCAAGAGUGACUUCAGGGAGAACACAAGUCUGACGGGAAGAUCAAGUACAGCAGGGAGACUAAGGAGGCGAGAGAGACAGGCGGCAGAGUGACUUGUAAUCAGCAGAGACUCAAGAACUGUUUGCUUUCAUUGCAAGGACUGACAUAUUUGAGACAGAGCCCUGAUGAUGAUGUGAUAGGCGCUGGAGAGAGAAUGUGGUCAGAGAGGCCUUAGAGCAGAGAAACAUCUGUAUGGUUGCAGGAUGGUGGCAUAAAUGAGAUACAAAAAAAGCUACUUUGGAAUUCAUGACAA